AACAUACUUGCUUUUAUGGAAAAAGUCAUUAUAAUCUGAAUCUAGUGUAUUUUACAAAUUCUUAUAAUUUGUAUUUAGAAAUUAUUCAAAAUAAAGGGUGGAAGUAUUUUGCUCCCUUUAUUUAUCUGUAUA
Non-coding RNA from Rickettsia akari str. Hartford, 132 nucleotides. NCBI's taxonomy places the organism in Bacteria, Pseudomonadati, Pseudomonadota, Alphaproteobacteria, Rickettsiales, Rickettsiaceae. The record is from Rfam.